This 635-nucleotide ribosomal RNA is filed under the name Streptomyces sp. SID89. Its description in RNAcentral is "partial 23S ribosomal RNA". It matches the Rfam family "Bacterial large subunit ribosomal RNA", at positions 2297 to 2925 of the family's 2925-position model. The record is from RNAcentral. Lineage: Bacteria; Bacillati; Actinomycetota; Actinomycetes; Kitasatosporales; Streptomycetaceae. RNAcentral also lists the same sequence under 1 other name.
GUAACGGAGGCGCCCAAAGGUUCCCUCAGCCUGGUUGGCAAUCAGGUGUUGAGUGUAAGUGCACAAGGGAGCUUGACUGUGAGACCGACGGGUCGAGCAGGGACGAAAGUCGGGACUAGUGAUCCGGCGGUGGCUUGUGGAAGCGCCGUCGCUCAACGGAUAAAAGGUACCCCGGGGAUAACAGGCUGAUCUUCCCCAAGAGUCCAUAUCGACGGGAUGGUUUGGCACCUCGAUGUCGGCUCGUCGCAUCCUGGGGCUGGAGUCGGUCCCAAGGGUUGGGCUGUUCGCCCAUUAAAGCGGUACGCGAGCUGGGUUUAGAACGUCGUGAGACAGUUCGGUCCCUAUCCGCUGUGCGCGUAGGAGUCUUGAGAAGGGCUGUCCCUAGUACGAGAGGACCGGGACGGACGAACCUCUGGUGUGCCAGUUGUUCUGCCAAGGGCAUGGCUGGUUGGCUACGUUCGGGAGGGAUAACCGCUGAAAGCAUCUAAGCGGGAAGCCUGCUUCGAGAUGAGGACUCCCACCCACUUGAUGGGGUAAGGCUCCCAGUAGACGACUGGGUUGAUAGGCCGGAUCUGGAAGCACGGUAACGUGUGGAGGUGACCGGUACUAAUAGGCCGAGGGCUUGUCCUCAGUUG